UCCCCUAGUAGCGGCGAGCGAAGCGGGAAGAGCUCAAAUUUAUAAUCUGGCACCUUCGGUGUCCGAGUUGUAAUCUCUAGAAGUGUUUUCCGCGUUGGACCGCACACAAGUCUGUUGGAAUACAGCGGCAUAGUGGUGAAACCCCCGUAUAUGGUGCGGACGCCCAGCGCUUUGUGAUACACUUUCAAUGAGUCGAGUUGUUUGGGAAUGCAGCUCAAAUUGGGUGGUAAAUUCCAUCUAAAGCUAAAUAUUGGCGAGAGACCGAUAGCGAACAAGUACCGUGAGGGAAAGAUGAAAAGCACUUUGGAAAGAGAGUUAACAGUACGUGAAAUUGUUGGAAGGGAAACGCUUGAAGUCAGACUUGCUUGCCGGAGCUUGCUUCGGUUUGCAGGCCAGCAUCAGUUUUCCGGGGUGGAUAAUGACGGUUUGAAGGUAGCAGUCUCGGCUGUGUUAUAGCUUUCCGUUGGAUACAUCCUGGGGGACUGAGGAACGCAGCGUGCUUUUUGCGAAAGACUCGUCUUUUUCACGCUUAGGAUGCUG
RNAcentral lists this ribosomal RNA (540 nucleotides) under Rhodotorula babjevae. RNAcentral's name for it is "partial large subunit ribosomal RNA". It matches the Rfam family "Eukaryotic large subunit ribosomal RNA", at positions 76 to 628 of the family's 3401-position model. Lineage: Eukaryota; Fungi; Basidiomycota; Microbotryomycetes; Sporidiobolales; Sporidiobolaceae. The record is from RNAcentral.